AGAGUUUGAUCCUGGCUCAGGAUGAACGCUGGCGGCGUGCCUAAUACAUGCAAGUCGAGCGAACGGACGAGAAGCUUGCUUCUCUGAUGUUAGCGGCGGACGGGUGAGUAACACGUGGAUAACCUACCUAUAAGACUGGGAUAACUUCGGGAAACCGGAGCUAAUACCGGAUAAUAUUUUGAACCGCAUGGUUCAAAAGUGAAAGACGGUCUUGCUGUCACUUAUAGAUGGAUCCGCGCUGCAUUAGCUAGUUGGUAAGGUAACGGCUUACCAAGGCAACGAUGCAUAGCCGACCUGAGAGGGUGAUCGGCCACACUGGAACUGAGACACGGUCCAGACUCCUACGGGAGGCAGCAGUAGGGAAUCUUCCGCAAUGGGCGAAAGCCUGACGGAGCAACGCCGCGUGAGUGAUGAAGGUCUUCGGAUCGUAAAACUCUGUUAUUAGGGAAGAACAUAUGUGUAAGUAACUGUGCACAUCUUGACGGUACCUAAUCAGAAAGCCACGGCUAACUACGUGCCAGCAGCCGCGGUAAUACGUAGGUGGCAAGCGUUAUCCGGAAUUAUUGGGCGUAAAGCGCGCGUAGGCGGUUUUUUAAGUCUGAUGUGAAAGCCCACGGCUCAACCGUGGAGGGUCAUUGGAAACUGGAAAACUUGAGUGCAGAAGAGGAAAGUGGAAUUCCAUGUGUAGCGGUGAAAUGCGCAGAGAUAUGGAGGAACACCAGUGGCGAAGGCGACUUUCUGGUCUGUAACUGACGCUGAUGUGCGAAAGCGUGGGGAUCAAACAGGAUUAGAUACCCUGGUAGUCCACGCCGUAAACGAUGAGUGCUAAGUGUUAGGGGGUUUCCGCCCCUUAGUGCUGCAGCUAACGCAUUAAGCACUCCGCCUGGGGAGUACGAC
Molecule: ribosomal RNA, 897 nt
Filed under: Staphylococcus aureus M0007
Lineage: Bacteria; Bacillati; Bacillota; Bacilli; Caryophanales; Staphylococcaceae
Also listed under: 18 other names
Description: bacterial SSU rRNA
Rfam family: Bacterial small subunit ribosomal RNA
Source: RNAcentral